This 308-nucleotide long non-coding RNA is filed under the name Gallus gallus (chicken). RNAcentral's name for it is "long non-coding RNA NONGGAT003889". The record is from RNAcentral. Lineage: Eukaryota; Metazoa; Chordata; Aves; Galliformes; Phasianidae.
AAAGGAGACAACAUUUAUGAAUGGAGGUCAACUAUACUGGGGCCUCCAGGGUCAGUAUAUGAAGGUGGAGUUUUCUUCCUUGACAUUACCUUUUCACCGGACUAUCCUUUUAAACCACCUAAGGUAACAUUCCGGACAAGGAUCUAUCACUGUAACAUUAACAGCCAAGGCGUUAUCUGCCUGGACAUUUUAAAAGACAACUGGAGUCCAGCAUUAACCAUUUCUAAAGUUCUCCUCUCCAUCUGCUCCCUCCUCACAGACUGCAACCCGGAAACAUCUGCCAAAUUUCUAGCUUUAACUGAUGCGUG